This 435-nucleotide ribosomal RNA is filed under the name uncultured bacterium. RNAcentral describes it as "partial 16S ribosomal RNA". It matches the Rfam family "Bacterial small subunit ribosomal RNA", at positions 29 to 507 of the family's 1533-position model. The record is from RNAcentral.
AGCGAACGCUGGCGGCAGGCCUAACACAUGCAAGUCGAGCGGGCACUUUCGGGGGUCAGUGGUGGACGGUUGAGUAACGCGGGGGAACGUGCCCGUGGGUACGGAAUAUCGCAGGGAAACAUGAGCUAAUACCGGAUAAGCCCAUAUGGGGUAAGGCUUGCUGCCGGAGGAUCGGCCCGCGUCUGAUGAGCUGGUUGGUGAGGUAACGGCUCACCAAGGCGACGAUCAGUAGCUGGUCUGAGAGGAUGAUCAGCCACACUGGGGCUGAGACACGGCCCAGACUCCUACGGGAAGCAGCAGUGGGGAAUAUUGGACAAUGGGCGCAAGCCUGAUCCAGCCAUGCCGCGUGAGUGAUGAAGGCCUUAGGGUUGUAAAGCUCUUUUAUCCGGGACGAUAAUGACGGUACCGGAGGAAUAAGCCCCGGCUAACUUCGUG